GCCCUUUUAACUCAGCGGUAGAGUAACGCCAUGGUAAGGCGUAAGUCAUCGGUUCAAAUCCGAU
This 64-nucleotide transfer RNA is filed under the name Asclepias boliviensis. RNAcentral describes it as "partial tRNA-Thr". It matches the Rfam family "tRNA", at positions 1 to 63 of the family's 71-position model. Rfam says of the family: Transfer RNA (tRNA) molecules are approximately 80 nucleotides in length. Their secondary structure includes four short double-helical elements and three loops (D, anti-codon, and T loops). Further hydrogen bonds mediate the characteristic L-shaped molecular structure. tRNAs have two regions of fundamental functional importance: the anti-codon, which is responsible for specific mRNA codon recognition, and the 3' end, to which the tRNAs corresponding amino acid is attached (by aminoacyl-tRNA synthetases). tRNAs cope with the degeneracy of the genetic code in two manners: having more than one tRNA (with a specific anti-codon) for a particular amino acid; and 'wobble' base-pairing, i.e. permitting non-standard base-pairing at the 3rd anti-codon position. Lineage: Eukaryota; Viridiplantae; Streptophyta; Magnoliopsida; Gentianales; Apocynaceae. The record is from RNAcentral.